CUUUCCCUCAGCUUCACCAUGGAGACAGCCAACGGGAAAGAAGUUCCUGAGUGGGAGGCAGUACAGCAGGGAGAGGUGAGAAUGCGCCUCCAGGAACCAGGACUGGAAAUUCCCACUCUGCUGAGGAAUGCAGAGGCAUUCCUGGAGCUGCACAGAAGUACAUUGUCGAAGCCGGGAUGUCCCUGGGGAAACAUAGGCCACUUCCAGCAUCGAUGGUGUCAGGUCAGGUCCUCUGGGUAGAAGAAAUGGAGUCAGUUAGGAGUGCUGGAGACUGAGUAAGAGGUGGCAGCUGAGGCUUACUACCCCAGGAAAGGGAUGCCACCAGAGAAGGCAGACAACCAAGAUGGCGACUCUCAAUUUUUGAGCUCCUAAUUUUCUCAUGUCAGACAUAAGAAAAAAAAAUAUUUUUUAAAGAAAAAGCUUUAGGUUGCAAAAAUCUAGGCCUUUCAACUUUAAAAUCCUAUUCUUGCAAGCCUUGGAGAAUAAAGCUUAUGCAUAAACAGUAGAUUUGGAAACAGAAA
This is a long non-coding RNA of Pan troglodytes (chimpanzee), 521 nucleotides long. RefSeq lists it as uncharacterized. NCBI's taxonomy places the organism in Eukaryota, Metazoa, Chordata, Mammalia, Primates, Hominidae. The transcript has 3 exons. The record is from RefSeq and is a predicted model, not a curated record.